UGGAAGUAAAAAGUCGUAACAAGGUCUCCGUAGGUGAACCUGCGGAGGGAUCAUUACACAAAUAUGAAGGCGGGCUGGAACCUCUCGGGGUUACAGCCUUGCUGAAUUAUUCACCCUUGUCUUUUGCGUACUUCUUGUUUCCUUGGUGGGUUCGCCCACCAUAGGACAAACAUAAACCUUUUGUAAUUGCAAUCAGCGUCAGUAACAAAUUAAUAAUUACAACUUUCAACAACGGAUCUCUUGGUUCUGGCAUCGAUGAAGAACGCAGCGAAAUGCGAUAAGUAGUGUGAAUUGCAGAAUUCAGUGAAUCAUCGAAUCUUUGAACGCACAUUGCGCCCUUUGGUAUUCCAAAGGGCAUGCCUGUUCGAGCGUCAUUUGUACCCUCAAGCUUUGCUUGGUGUUGGGCGUCUUGUCUCUAGCUUUGCUGGAGACUCGCCUUAAAGUAAUUGGCAGCCGGCCUACUGGUUUCGGAGGCAGCACAAGUCGCACUCUCUAUCAGCAAAGGUCUAGCAUCCAUUAAGCCUUUUUUCAACUUUUGACCUCGGAUCAGUAGACAAAAAGCGUUA
This 566-nucleotide ribosomal RNA is filed under the name Alternaria tenuissima. Its description in RNAcentral is "partial 18S ribosomal RNA". The stretch from base 221 to 374 matches the Rfam family "5.8S ribosomal RNA". Lineage: Eukaryota; Fungi; Ascomycota; Dothideomycetes; Pleosporales; Pleosporaceae. The record is from RNAcentral.